Gavialis gangeticus (Gharial) is the source of this 597-nucleotide non-coding RNA. The record is from the annotation of a RefSeq genome assembly. Lineage: Eukaryota; Metazoa; Chordata; Crocodylia; Gavialidae.
CAGGGCUACUGCUUUGCAUAGGGCCGUCCCAGUGACUGCACCCUGCUCUGGGGAGAAGCUAUAAAGGGGCCGGUUUAACGCCUGGUGUCUCUCAGCUCUGUGUCAGUCGGUGCAGAAGCAGCAAGAUGCUGUGGCAGAUUCAGCUUUGGCUCCUUGUGCUCUGGGCUCAAGGAUCCAGUGGGGACAUCUUUGUGACUCAGAGUCCAGAAUCCCUAACAGUGUCUCCAGGAGACACAGUCACCAUCAAGUGCAAAACCAGUUCUAGCGUUGGCAGGGACAUGAACUUCUACCAGCAGAAACCAGGACAACCCCCAAUGCUUCUUCUCCAUGACACAAACAAAGGCCCUUCUGGGAUCCUAGAUCAGUUCAGUGGCAGUGGGUCUGGCAUUGACUUCACUUUUACCAUCAGCCGGAUGCAAGUUGGAGAUUCUGGAGAUUAUUACUGUCAGCAGCAUCAGAGCUCCCCGCUCACAGUGCUACAGCCCCGUACAAAAACCUCCCUGCUCUGCUCAGUCCUGCUGCUCCCGGCACCAGCUGCUUCCUGCACGGUCACAGGCCAGUGGCUCUGCUGACCUGGUGCAGCAGGGCCAGGUGAUG